GCCACAGCUCGGGGGUAGAGCAUCUGCUUUGCAUGCAGAAGAUGCCAGAUUCAAUCCCUGGCCUCUCUAGGCA
Molecule: non-coding RNA, 73 nt
Organism: Podarcis lilfordi (Lilford's wall lizard)
Lineage: Eukaryota; Metazoa; Chordata; Lepidosauria; Squamata; Lacertidae
Source: the annotation of a GenBank genome assembly